RNAcentral lists this long non-coding RNA (1905 nucleotides) under Ananas comosus (pineapple). Its description in RNAcentral is "long non-coding RNA (ACOM_LNC038440)". The record is from RNAcentral. Lineage: Eukaryota; Viridiplantae; Streptophyta; Magnoliopsida; Poales; Bromeliaceae.
CGCGACAUGCUCGACACCCGCCUGGGCCGCCGCCGCCUGCUGGCGCUCCAAGGUCUCCUGGAGCCGCUGAAUCUGUUCCCCUUGGCGUUGAACAGACUCCGCUUGUUGCCGCACUACUCCGAUAAGCGCGGCCAUUUGUUCCCUAAGCUCUCCGUCGCUAGUUGCUCCGGAUCGCUCAGGCUCCACGUUCGGCUCCUCCGGCAUCGACCUUGUCUGCGGUCGUCCACGAGGUGCCAUUGCUUCCUGAAAAGAAGCAACUCGCAUUAGUCACCUAACCAACAUUACUUGACCAUACCCAAUUAGGCGAAAGCAACAUACACAUUCAUCCUUAUCUCCAGCGUCAUGUCGUCGGCCGCCCGACAUAAUACUAGAAGUAGAGGAUAAACGAAAAUUAAACUUAGCCUCUAAUCACAUUAGAGACGUCCCUACUCAACCCAACCACAUGCUUUCGCUAACUUUGAUUCCACGUCACUCACGUUUCCUAGAUCCUUAAGGCCUUCCAAUCCUAAGGGUCUCUAGGUCCAUUCCUAUUCUUUCACUAUUGGCUCUGAUACCACGAUAUCUGUCACGCCCCGGGACCGAUGCCAAUUUGGCCCGACCCGAGCACAUCAAACAGACGCCGAACGGACAGAGUUUUCCCUAUCCGCCCAAGGCUCAUCACAUGUACAUUUUCGUCAAUAGAGAAAAGCACUAGCGGAAACAUACACAAACGGCUUACAUGAGGGUAAGCAAUAGCCAUUGGUGAAAGAAAAAGGAAACUAAACAUUCACAAGUAAUAUGAUUCAUUUUAGAUCAUAUACAUUACAUCCAUCUCUUAAAAUUAUGAUUCCUUGUACUUCAUUACACAUUGCAUCAUUUCUUUCUUACAUCACAUUUACCUCAAAAUAAGCUUUACCUUCUUUCUUUACAUCACUAAUCAUCAAUUUCAAAAGAUGAUCAUAAGGGACUUUUCUACAAAAUGAAACUCAACAUCGGUGGCCUCUGACUAAGGCGCGAUACCUUUACCUCGGUCGCUCGCCGGCUCGCUCGGUCCCGGCUCUGUGGAAAUAGUGGGGUGAGAACUACAACAAAGUUCCCAGUGGGUUCGGCCUCAACAUCACCGACUUUCCCACUAGGACUAACUCAGGCAUAAUAGAAGAAAUAGGCUGUAAAUAGUAACCAAACUAUACUUAAUGCUAAUAUGCCUGAACAAAUAGCAAGAAUUAUGCUCAACAUUGAAUAAAUGCAGGUUAUGCAUGUUCUUUAGUUCUUUGCACUUUACACUUUGUUCUUUGCUCUUUGUUCUUUACUCUUUGCUCUUUAAUCAUUAAGGCUAGCCCGGGGGUGUCGCCACAUUAACUUGCUUCACAUUAAGUCCAUCAUCGCAGGAACUCACCAGCUAGGACCGUCCUUACGGGUUUACUCCAACCCGGAUGCAUAAACUCCGGAGCGCAUCGCCCGAGGGGGAGCGACCGCCCUCGAGCACGGAACUCAUAGCAAGUAUGAUCAUAUCCUUAACUCAAAGGAUUUAAAAGUUCAAUCUUGACUUUACACUAGCUCUAGUGUUCUUUACAUCUCUUUAUGUUGCAAACUCAUGCAAUCACAUUCCUUACAUUUCCUUUACUCUUGCUAACUCUAGCAUUCUCGUUCUUAUUGCCCACUUUACUUUAACUUUACACGUUGUCGUUUUCAUCAUUCUUUACAUCACUUUAGUUCUUUACAUCACACUAACUCUAGUGUCAUUUCACAUUAGCUUUAUCGAAUGCCACUCGAUCUAUGUCAUUGUGUCACUCUGUUCUUUUGCUCACUUUGGGUGCUCACUUUCUCUCAUGCAUACACAUAGGGUUUUCGACAUCACAUAGCUCUCAUUCAUCAUAUUAUGCAAGUUGUACUCACAAUCAUGCAUCAUUACAUUUACAUCAUUAC